This 334-nucleotide unclassified non-coding RNA is filed under the name soil metagenome. Its description in RNAcentral is "partial contains 5.8S ribosomal RNA, internal transcribed spacer 2, and large subunit ribosomal RNA". The stretch from base 1 to 120 matches the Rfam family "5.8S ribosomal RNA", at positions 35 to 154 of the family's 154-position model. The record is from RNAcentral.
GAUGAAGAACGCAGCGAAAUGCGAUACGUAAUGUGAAUUGCAGAAUUCAGUGAAUCAUCGAAUCUUUGAACGCACAUUGCGCCUGCCAGCACUCUGGCAGGCAUGCCUGUUCGAGCGUCAUUUCAACCAUCAAGCCCUAGGCUUGCGUUGGAGCCCUGCGGCUGCCGCAGGCCCCUAAAAGCAGUGGCGGGCUCGCUAUCACACCGAGUGCAGUAGUUUACUCUUCGCUCAGGGCGUGUGGCGGGUGCUAGCCGUAAAACCCCCAACUUCUCAAGGUUGACCUCGGAUCAGGUAGGAAUACCCGCUGAACUUAAGCAUAUCAAUAAGCGGAGGA